UCCAGUUUCACCCUCAAUUGGA
RNAcentral lists this non-coding RNA (22 nucleotides) under Arabidopsis thaliana (thale cress). Lineage: Eukaryota; Viridiplantae; Streptophyta; Magnoliopsida; Brassicales; Brassicaceae. The record is from RNAcentral.